GAUGAACGCUGGCGGCGUGCCUAAUACAUGCGAGUCGAGCGAACAGAUGAGGAGCUUGCUCCUCUGACGUUAGCGGCGGACGGGUGAGUAACACGUGGAUAACCUACCUAUAAGACUGGGAUAACUUCGGGAAACCGGAGCUAAUACCGGAUAAUAUAUUGAACCGCAUGGUUCAAUAGUGAAAGACGGUUUUGCUGUCACUUAUAGAUGGAUCCGCGCCGCAUUAGCUAGUUGGUAAGGUAACGGCUUACCAAGGCAACGAUGCGUAGCCGACCUGAGAGGGUGAUCGGCCACACUGGAACUGAGACACGGUCCAGACUCCUACGGGAGGCAGCAGUAGGGAAUCUUCCGCAAUGGGCGAAAGCCUGACGGAGCAACGCCGCGUGAGUGAUGAAGGUCUUCGGAUCGUAAAACUCUGUUAUUAGGGAAGAACAAAUGUGUAAGUAACUAUGCACGUCUUGACGGUACCUAACCAGAAAGCCACGGCUAACUACGUG
This 497-nucleotide ribosomal RNA is filed under the name uncultured bacterium. RNAcentral's name for it is "partial 16S ribosomal RNA". It matches the Rfam family "Bacterial small subunit ribosomal RNA", at positions 28 to 507 of the family's 1533-position model. The record is from RNAcentral.